This 468-nucleotide ribosomal RNA is filed under the name uncultured bacterium. RNAcentral's name for it is "partial 16S ribosomal RNA". It matches the Rfam family "Bacterial small subunit ribosomal RNA", at positions 28 to 507 of the family's 1533-position model. The record is from RNAcentral.
GACGAACGCUGGCGGCGUGCUUAACACAUGCAAGUCGAACGGCAAGUCCCUGCUUUUGUGGUGUUCUCGAGUGGCGAACGGGUGAGUAACACGUGAGUAUCCUUCCCUUUACUUUUGUAUAACUUCAGGAAACUGGGUCUACUACCGUAUAGGAGCUCCUGCUGCCUUGUGGGGGUUGGAACUUUUCGGCGGUUGGGGAUGGACUCGCGGCUUAUCAGCUUGUUGGUGGGGUGGUGGCUUACCAAGGCUUUGACGGGUAGACGGCCUGAGAGGGUGACAGGCCACAAUGGGACAGAGAGAAGGCCCAGACGAGUAAGGGAGGAAGAAGGGGGGAAUAUGGAAAAAGGGGAGGAAGCAGGAGGCAGAAACGCAGCGUGCGGGAAAACGGCCUUUGGGUGGAAAAAAGCUUGAGCCUGUGACGAAGGGUGAGUGAAGGUAACGGGUAAAGAAGAACCGGCUAAAUACGUG